UAAGCUUUCGGGCCCAUACCCCAAAUAUGUUGGUGAGAACCCUUCUUUUACUA
RNAcentral lists this transfer RNA (53 nucleotides) under Triturus karelinii karelinii. RNAcentral's name for it is "partial tRNA-Met". Lineage: Eukaryota; Metazoa; Chordata; Amphibia; Caudata; Salamandridae. The record is from RNAcentral.